This 374-nucleotide ribosomal RNA is filed under the name uncultured organism. Its description in RNAcentral is "partial 16S ribosomal RNA". It matches the Rfam family "Bacterial small subunit ribosomal RNA", at positions 527 to 896 of the family's 1533-position model. The record is from RNAcentral.
GUAGGUGGCAAGCGUUGUCCGGAAUUAUUGGGCGUAAAGCGCGCGCAGGCGGUUUUUUAAGUCUGAUGUGAAAGCCCACGGCUCAACCGUGGAGGGUCAUUGGAAACUGGAGAACUUGAGUACAGAAGAGGAAAGCGGAAUUCCACGUGUAGCGGUGAAAUGCGUAGAGAUGUGGAGGAACACCAGUGGCGAAGGCGGCUUUCUGGUCUGUAACUGACGCUGAGGCGCGAAAGCGUGGGGAGCAAACAGGGAUUAGGUACCCUGGUAGUCCACGCCGUAAACGAUGAGUGCUAAGUGUUAGGGGGUUUCCCGCCCCCUUAGUGCUGCAGCUAACGCAUUAAGCACUCCGCCUGGGGAGUACGGCCGCAAGGCUG